RNAcentral lists this ribosomal RNA (119 nucleotides) under Pteropus alecto (black flying fox). Lineage: Eukaryota; Metazoa; Chordata; Mammalia; Chiroptera; Pteropodidae. The record is from RNAcentral.
GUCUACGGCCACGUUACCCUGAACAAGCCCGAUACUGUCUGAUCUCGGAAGCUAAGCAGGGUCGGGCCUGGUUAGUACUUGGAAUGGAGACCACCUAGAAAGACCCCGUGCUGUAGGUG